Molecule: ribosomal RNA, 115 nt
Filed under: Coriobacteriales bacterium
Lineage: Bacteria; Bacillati; Actinomycetota; Coriobacteriia; Coriobacteriales
Source: RNAcentral
GUGCGUAACCUUAGAGCAGGGGGUACACCCGAUCCCAUUCCGAACUCGGUAGUUAAGCCCUGCAUCGCCGAAAGUACUGCGGCGUAGGCCGUGGGAGGACAGGACGUUGCGCACA